AGAUGAGAAACCAACCAAUGGUGAUGGUCUUUGGAAUCAGAUAGACCUGAGUUCAAAUCCCAGCUCCUCUA
Molecule: non-coding RNA, 71 nt
Organism: Macaca mulatta (Rhesus monkey)
Lineage: Eukaryota; Metazoa; Chordata; Mammalia; Primates; Cercopithecidae
Source: Rfam